ACACGUGGGUAACCUGCCUUAUAGCGGGGGAUAGCCUUUCGAAAGGAAGAUUAAUACCGCAUAAGAUUGUAGUAUCGCAUGAUAUAGCAAUUAAAGGAGCAAUUCGCUAUAAGAUGGACCCGCGUCGCAUUAGCUAGUUGGUGAGGUAAUGGCUCACCAAGGCGACGAUGCGUAGCCGACCUGAGAGGGUGAUCGGCCACAUUGGGACUGAGACACGGCCCAGACUCCUACGGGAGGCAGCAUG
RNAcentral lists this ribosomal RNA (244 nucleotides) under uncultured bacterium. Its description in RNAcentral is "partial 16S ribosomal RNA". It matches the Rfam family "Bacterial small subunit ribosomal RNA", at positions 113 to 353 of the family's 1533-position model. The record is from RNAcentral.